This 465-nucleotide ribosomal RNA is filed under the name Vreelandella stevensii. RNAcentral's name for it is "partial 16S ribosomal RNA". It matches the Rfam family "Bacterial small subunit ribosomal RNA", at positions 338 to 795 of the family's 1533-position model. Lineage: Bacteria; Pseudomonadati; Pseudomonadota; Gammaproteobacteria; Oceanospirillales; Halomonadaceae. The record is from RNAcentral.
CCUACGGGGGGCAGCAGUGGGGAAUAUUGGACAAUGGGCGAAAGCCUGAUCCAGCCAUGCCGCGUGUGUGAAGAAGGCCUUCGGGUUGUAAAGCACUUUCAGUGGGGAAGAAAGCCUUGGGGCUAAUACCCUCGAGGAAGGACAUCACCCACAGAAGAAGCACCGGCUAACUCCGUGCCAGCAGCCGCGGUAAUACGGAGGGUGCGAGCGUUAAUCGGAAUUACUGGGCGUAAAGCGCGCGUAGGCGGUCUGAUAAGCCGGUUGUGAAAGCCCCGGGCUCAACCUGGGAACGGCAUCCGGAACUGUCAGGCUAGAGUGCAGGCGAGGAAGGUAGAAUUCCCGGUGUAGCGGUGAAAUGCGUAGAGAUCGGGAGGAAUACCAGUGGCGAAGGCGGCCUUCUGGACUGACACUGACGCUGAGGUGCGAAAGCGUGGGUAGCAAGCAGGAUUAGAUACCCGUGUAGUC